AACGAACGCUGGCGGCAUGCCUAACACAUGCAAGUCGAACGAGACCUUCGGGUCUAGUGGCGCACGGGUGCGUAACGCGUGGGAAUCUGCCCCUCGGUUCGGAAUAACAGUUAGAAAUGACUGCUAAUACCGGAUAAUGACGAAAGUCCAAAGAUUUAUCGCCGAGGGAUGAGCCCGCGUAGGAUUAGCUAGUUGGUGGGUAAAGGCCUACCAAGGCGACGAUCCUUAGCUGGUCUGAGAGGAUGAUCAGCCACACUGGGACUGAGACACGGCCCAGACUCCUACGGGAGGCAGCAGUGGGGAAUAUUGGACAAUGGGCGAAAGCCUGAUCCAGCAAUGCCGCGUGAGUGAUGAAGGCCUUAGGGUCGUAAAGCUCUUUUACCCG
This 385-nucleotide ribosomal RNA is filed under the name uncultured bacterium. RNAcentral describes it as "bacterial SSU rRNA". It matches the Rfam family "Bacterial small subunit ribosomal RNA", at positions 29 to 442 of the family's 1533-position model. The record is from RNAcentral.